GACGAACGCUGGCGGCGUGCUUAACACAUGCAAGUCGAACGGAAAGGCCUCUUUCGGGGGGUACUCGAGUGGCGAACGGGUGAGUAACACGUGAGUAACCUGCCCUUGACUUUGGGAUAACUUCAGGAAACUGGGGCUAAUACCGGAUAGGAGCUCCUGCUGCAUGGUGGGGGUUGGAAAGCUUCGGCGGUUGGGGAUGGACUCGCGGCUUAUCAGCUUGUUGGUGGGGUAGUGGCUUACCAAGGCUUUGACGGGUAGCCGGCCUGAGAGGGUGACCGGCCACAUUGGGAAUGAGAUACGGCCCAGACUCCUACGGGAGGCAGCAGUGGGGAAUAUUGCACAAUGGGUGGAAGCCUGAUGCAGCAACGCCGUGUGCGGGAUGACGGCCUUCGGGUUGUAAACCGCUUUCGCUCAUGACGAAGCUUUGUGUGACGGUAGUGGGUAAAGAAGCACCGGCUAACUACGUG
This 467-nucleotide ribosomal RNA is filed under the name uncultured bacterium. RNAcentral describes it as "partial 16S ribosomal RNA". It matches the Rfam family "Bacterial small subunit ribosomal RNA", at positions 28 to 507 of the family's 1533-position model. The record is from RNAcentral.